GUACUCUCUUCAGCAGCACAUAUACUAAAAUUGGAAUGACACAGUGAUUAGCAUGGCCCCUGCUCAGGGAUGACACACAAAAAGGAAGCAUUCCAUAUUUUU
Molecule: small nuclear RNA, 102 nt
Organism: Pipistrellus kuhlii (Kuhl's pipistrelle)
Lineage: Eukaryota; Metazoa; Chordata; Mammalia; Chiroptera; Vespertilionidae
Source: RefSeq, a predicted model, not a curated record